GACGAACGCUGGCGGCGUGCCUAAUACAUGCAAGUUGAGCGCUGAAGGUUGGUACUUGUACCAACUGGAUGAGCAGCGAACGGGUGAGUAACGCGUGGGGAAUCUGCCUUUGAGCGGGGGACAACAUUUGGAAACGAAUGCUAAUACCGCAUAAAAACUUUAAACACAAGUUUUAAGUUUGAAAGAUGCAAUUGCAUCACUCAAAGAUGAUCCCGCGUUGUAUUAGCUAGUUGGUGAGGUAAAGGCUCACCAAGGCGAUGAUACAUAGCCGACCUGAGAGGGUGAUCGGCCACAUUGGGACUGAGACACGGCCCAAACGCCUACGGGAGGCAGCAGUAGGGAAUCGUCGGCAAUGGACGAAAGUCUGACCGAGCAACGCCGCGUGAGGGAAGAAGGUUUUCGGAUCGUAAAACUCGGUUGGUAGAGAAGAACGUUGGUGAGAGUGGAAAGCUCAUCAAGUGACGGUAACUACCCAGAAAGGGACGGCUAACUACGUG
This 497-nucleotide ribosomal RNA is filed under the name uncultured bacterium. RNAcentral's name for it is "partial 16S ribosomal RNA". It matches the Rfam family "Bacterial small subunit ribosomal RNA", at positions 28 to 507 of the family's 1533-position model. The record is from RNAcentral.